CCACCCUUUGUCUACUUGACCAUCGUUGCUUCGGCGAGCCCGUCCUCACGGACCGCCGGGGGGUCUUUGUACCCCUUGGCCCGCGCUCGUCGAUAGCCCCCAAAUUUAAAAAAUCUUAACUAAACGUGUCUUGAAUCUAAGUAUUAUUGUUAAAUAAAAACAAAACUUUCAACAACGGAUCUCUUGGUUCUGGCAUCGAUGAAGAACGCAGCGAAAUGCGAUAAGUAAUGCGAAUUGCAGAAUUCCAGUGAGUCAUCGAAUCUUUGAACGCACAUUGCGCCCUUUGGUAUUCCGAAGGGCAUGCCUGUUCGAGCGUCAUUAUCACCCCUCAAGCCCUCGGCUUGGUGUUGGACGGUUUGGUGGAGACCCCCCUCGGGUGGGCUUCUACCCCUCCCAAAGACAAUGACGGCGGCCUCGUUGGACCCCCGGUACACUGAGUUCUUCACGGGACACGUAUCGGACACAUGGGUUUACGGGACACGGUCUGCCUCCCCUCAGGGAGAAUCUUUUUUUAUCAAGGUUGACCUCGGAUCAGGUAGGGAUACCCGCUGAACUUAAGCAUAUCAA
RNAcentral lists this ribosomal RNA (567 nucleotides) under Exophiala sp. bc_besc_86f. RNAcentral describes it as "eukaryotic LSU rRNA". The stretch from base 164 to 318 matches the Rfam family "5.8S ribosomal RNA". Lineage: Eukaryota; Fungi; Ascomycota; Eurotiomycetes; Chaetothyriales; Herpotrichiellaceae. The record is from RNAcentral.